GGCCGACUAGCUCAGCUGGUUAGAGCGUCGUGCUAAUAACGCGAACGUCUUGGGUUCGAUUCCCACGUUGGCCA
Molecule: non-coding RNA, 74 nt
Organism: Tephrocybe rancida
Lineage: Eukaryota; Fungi; Basidiomycota; Agaricomycetes; Agaricales; Lyophyllaceae
Source: the annotation of a GenBank genome assembly